Molecule: long non-coding RNA, 1733 nt
Filed under: Homo sapiens (human)
Lineage: Eukaryota; Metazoa; Chordata; Mammalia; Primates; Hominidae
Description: HSALNT0301924
Source: RNAcentral
CUCCGAACUGCUGAGAAAUAUUGCAAAAAUGACUUCAGCUGCCAAAAAUAAUGUCGUUUACAAGCAGCUCUUCCUAUGUCUAAGGAAGAACUAGUCACACAUGCGAGUUUUUGCUGGCUUGAGAACAAGCAAGGAAAAAGACAAAUCCCACCUACCCUAGCCUAAAAUACACAGUGAGUCUCAGAACCCCGCGGAAGCUGUGGCUCAUUUCUAAAGGUGCUGGCAAUAUCGAGGAAGACUUGUAUCCACAAAAUUCCAAAUGAUUAAAUAAUCAAGUCAUUAUUGUGAAUUUGGAUCUAAAUGACCUGGCAGAAACCAUGGAGAUGAUCUUGAGUGAAAUAACACUGGUAAGUUCUGGAAGGUGCUUCAUAGUGUUCCAAAGUGUGUCAUCCCUGUGCUUAUGCAUUUGUAUCAAGGAUUUAAAGAGGAAAAACUCAAAGCAAUGUAUUCUGAUCAAGAAAUGGCAGGAAAUGGCAGCUACCUGAUAUGGAACAAUCAACAACUGAAGGUUUAUUUUGAAUGAGAGGUGUUGUCCAACUGCGAGACGGAGUGAUUGAAGCUGAGAAUAAAUGGAAACACAAUCAAUAGUCACUCCAGUGAGGUAGGAAAGAAAGCCAUUCCGAAGUGGCAGAGAAGCUGCUUUUUCCUCCUGCAUGCUGCCUGCUAGUGUGGAUCUUGGCAUAACAGACACUACUUGGCAAAAGAUCCAUCCUUCCUUUUCCUAUACUUUGCUCAGCGGCCUGGAAGAUUGACCUCAAAAGCAAAAUCACCUGGAUUUCCUUGCCAUUUGGCUUUCAAAUGUGCUCAGCCAAUGACAGGCUGGAAAGAAAUUGACAGCUGGGAAAAGAGGAAGAUUUGUGUACAAGAUCCCUUCCACUCCCAUCUCAUUACCUGCCAUGGUCCUAGCAGUGGCUGUUCUUAUUAUGGCCACAACUACUCUUGGACAGGCCAACAUCCACAACUCCAUCCUUCAACUAGGCUUCAUUAACACUGUCCCUCACCCUUAUCUCUUUCUGGGUAGGGGUGAUAAAGGUUUCCUGACAUCAGAGUUCCUGAGUGCCUCAUAUAUUCUUGUUGGUCCCUGAACCUUGCCCCAACAUCAAUAAAAAGUUCCUUCAUUAAAUAAUUUUCAGUUGAAUCUUUCGUGCUGGGAUCUGUCCAAUUCGACUUUAGCAUACUUUUCGUGCCAAGAAAGUGAUAGUUUCUUGCCAGGAUUUGGCUCAAAGGGCUCACAGUGGGUGAGGGGAUGAGAUUACUUAUUAAGUGAUAAAAUGGAGAUCACAGUGGUUAACCUGCCUAAGAUCACAUGGUUGGUCAACUCAUGGUCGAUUCAUUAAAAUAUUAAAACAUAGAAUCAGUCAGGCAGUGGAUGUAAUAGAUAAAUAAAACACACAUGUACCCUUAAUAAUUUAUAUUCUAGGCAGGCGUGGUGGCUCACGCCUGUAAUCCCAGCACUUUGUGAGGCCAAGGUGGGUGGAUCACCUGAGGUCGGGAGUUCAAGACCAGCCUCACAAACAUGGAGAAACCCCAUCUCUACUAAAAAUACAAAAUUAGCUGGGCUUGGUGGUGCAUGCCUGUAAUCCCAGCUACUCAGGAGGCUGAGGCAGGUGAAUUGCUUGAACCCAGUAGGUGGAGGUUGCAGUGAGCCGAGAUUGCACCAUCGCACCCAGCCUGGGCAACAAGACUGAAACUCCAUCUCAAAAAAAAAAAGUCUAUAUACAUACACACACACA